Molecule: ribosomal RNA, 253 nt
Filed under: uncultured bacterium
Lineage: Bacteria
Description: partial 16S ribosomal RNA
Rfam family: Bacterial small subunit ribosomal RNA
Source: RNAcentral
UACAGAGGUCUCAAGCGUUGUUCGGAUUCAUUGGGCGUAAAGGGUGUGUAGGUGGCGCCGUAAGUCGGGUGUGAAAUUUCGGAGCUUAACUCCGAAACUGCAUUCGAUACUGCGGUGCUUGAGGACUGGAGAGGAGACUGGAAUUCAUGGUGUAGCAGUGAAAUGCGUAGAUAUCGUAAGGAAGACCAGUGGCGAAGGCGGGUCUCUGGACAGUUCCUGACGCUGAGGCACGAAGGCCAGGGGAGCAAACGGG